AGAUAUACUUAGGUCCUCACGGGGCUCCGCCUUCUCAGUCUAAGCAGCAGGAGCUCAGCGUGGCCAAUCGUAAGCAACGUCUCAAGCACAAGCUGCAGGAAGCCGAUCGUCGUUUUUCUGGGACUGGUCGUGAAAAUAAGGUGGAAAAUCUGCAAGAGCUUGUGGGGAAUAAGGUCAGCUCUGCUUCCAGUAUGGCGAGGAGCUCCCCCCGAGAUUGGCU
This 220-nucleotide unclassified non-coding RNA is filed under the name Hevea brasiliensis (rubber tree). The record is from RNAcentral. Lineage: Eukaryota; Viridiplantae; Streptophyta; Magnoliopsida; Malpighiales; Euphorbiaceae.